Molecule: ribosomal RNA, 253 nt
Filed under: uncultured bacterium
Lineage: Bacteria
Description: partial 16S ribosomal RNA
Rfam family: Bacterial small subunit ribosomal RNA
Source: RNAcentral
CACGUAGGCACCAAGCGUUGUCCGGAUUUAUUGGGCCUAAAGCAUCCGUAGCCGGUUCUACAAGUCUUCCGUUAAAUCCACCUGCUUAACAGAUGGGCUGCGGAGGAUACUAUGGAGCUAGGAGGCGGGAGAGGCAAGCGGUACUUAGUGGGUAGGGGUAAAAUCCGUUGAUCCAUUGAAGACCACCAGUGGCGAAGGCGGCUUGCCAGAACGCACUCGACGGUGAGGGAUGAAAGCUGGGGGAGCAAACCGG